UAGUUUGAUCAGUGGCUACAGGACGAACGCUGGCGGCAUGCCUAACACAUGCAAGUCGAACGGGAUCCUAGCUUGCUAGGUGAGAGUGGCGGACGGGUGAGUAACACGUGGGAAUCUGCCUUUUGGUUCGGGAUAACCGCGGGAAACUGCGGCUAAUACCGAAUGCCCUCGAGAGAGGAAAGAUUUAUCGCCAGAAGAGGAGCCCGCGUCCGAUUAGGUAGUUGGUGGGGUAAAGGCCUACCAAGCCGACGAUCGGUAGCUGGUCUGAGAGGAUGAUCAGCCACACUGGGACUGAGAUACGGCCCAGACUCCUACGGGAGGCAGCAGUGGGGAAUAUUGGACAAUGGGGGCAACCCUGAUCCAGCAAUGCCGCGUGAGUGAUGAAGGCCUUAGGGUUGUAAAGCUCUUUUGCCAGGGAAGAUGAUGACUGUACCUGGAGAAUAAGCCCCGGCUAACUUCGUG
Molecule: ribosomal RNA, 462 nt
Filed under: uncultured bacterium
Lineage: Bacteria
Description: bacterial SSU rRNA
Rfam family: Bacterial small subunit ribosomal RNA
Source: RNAcentral